GACGAACGCUGGCGGCGUGCCUAAUACAUGCCAGUUGAGCGCUGAAGGUUGGUACUUGUACCGACUGGAUGAGCAGCGAACGGGUGAGUAACGCGUGGGGAAUCUGCCUUUGAGCGGGGGACAACAUUUGGAAACGAAUGCUAAUACCGCAUAAAAACUUUAAACACAAGUUUUAAGUUUGAAAGAUGCAAUUGCAUCACUCAAAGAUGAUCCCGCGUUGUAUUAGCUAGUUGGUGAGGUAAAGGCUCACCAAGGCGAUGAUACAUAGCCGACCUGAGAGGGUGAUCGGCCACAUUGGGACUGAGACACGGCCCAAACUCCUACGGGAGGCAGCAGUAGGGAAUCUUCGGCAAUGGACGAAAGACUGACCGAGCAACGCCGCGUGAGUGAAGAAGGGUUUCGGACCGUAAAACUCUGUUGGUAGAGAAGAACGUUGGUGAGAGUGGAAAGCUCAUCAAGUGACGGUAACUACCCAGAAAGGGACGGCUAACUACGUG
This 497-nucleotide ribosomal RNA is filed under the name uncultured bacterium. RNAcentral describes it as "partial 16S ribosomal RNA". It matches the Rfam family "Bacterial small subunit ribosomal RNA", at positions 28 to 507 of the family's 1533-position model. The record is from RNAcentral.